This 255-nucleotide ribosomal RNA is filed under the name Streptobacillus moniliformis. RNAcentral's name for it is "partial 16S ribosomal RNA". It matches the Rfam family "Bacterial small subunit ribosomal RNA", at positions 431 to 700 of the family's 1533-position model. The record is from RNAcentral. Lineage: Bacteria; Fusobacteriati; Fusobacteriota; Fusobacteriia; Fusobacteriales; Leptotrichiaceae.
UGCUUUCAGUAGGGAAGAAGAAGAUGACGGUACCUACAGAAGAAGCGACGGCUAAAUACGUGCCAGCAGCCGCGGUAAUACGUAUGUCGCAAGCGUUAUCCGGAAUUAUUGGGCUUAAAGGGCAUCUAGGCGGUCUAACAAGUUGAAGGUGAAAAGCUGUGGCUCAACCAUAGUCUUGCCUACAAAACUGUCAGACUAGAGUACUGGAAAGGUGGGUGGAACUACACGAGUAGAGGUGAAAUUCGUAGAUAUGUG